This 470-nucleotide ribosomal RNA is filed under the name uncultured bacterium. Its description in RNAcentral is "partial 16S ribosomal RNA". It matches the Rfam family "Bacterial small subunit ribosomal RNA", at positions 28 to 507 of the family's 1533-position model. The record is from RNAcentral.
GACGAACGCUGGCGGCGUGCUUAACACAUGCAAGUCGAACGCUGAAGCACCAGCUUGCUGGUGUGGAUGAGUGGCGAACGGGUGAGUAAUACGUGAGUAACCUGCCCUUGACUCUGGGAUAAGCCCGGGAAACUGGGUCUAAUACUGGAUGCUACAUGUCACCGCAUGGUGGUGUGUGGAAAGGGUUUACUGGUCUUGGAUGGGCUCACGGCCUAUCAGCUUGUUGGUGAGGUAAUGGCUCACCAAGGCGACGACGGGUAGCCGGCCUGAGAGGGUGACCGGCCACACUGGGACUGGGACACGGCCCAGACUCCUACGGGAGGCAGCAGUGGGGAAUAUUGCACAAUGGGCGAAAGCCUGAUGCAGCGACGCCGCGGGAGGGAUGACGGCCUUCGGGUUGUAAACCUCUUUCAGCAGGGAAGAAGCCACAAGUGACGGUACCUGCAGAAGAAGCGCCGGCUAACUACGUG